AAAAUAACAUAAUAUCUUGUCUUAUUCUAAAAACAUGGAAAGACAAGAAGCCUUUAAAAAAGACGUCUUUAAAAGCUAACUGAUCAACACCCAACAAAAUUUGGGUACCUAAAGAUAAAAUAAUUUCUCUUGCAGAUGUCCUUAGCAGCAAAGUUAAGACACUAAUCAUGGUACCUGUACAGUGGUUGCUCAUGACACAUGACAUGAAGAUUUGACUCUGAAGGUCAGAGGAACAUUUGGAUUCGGAGGAAACCAUAAGGGAAUAAUAAUUGAUCAUGGAAAAGGAAGGCAAAUAUGGCGAUAUCUGCUUGGUGUGUUUCAUGUUGUUGUUGUUUAAAUCUAUUUGUAGUGUGUUGAUGUUAUUGAUGACUUAUGUUUGAAUCAAUAUGAUUGCUCUUUGUUUUGAAGUCUACUUUGCAUUUAAAUUGAUUCAUCUUUAAAUAGUUGCAUAUUGC
This is a non-coding RNA of Cicer arietinum (chickpea), 455 nucleotides long. The record is from RefSeq and is a predicted model, not a curated record. NCBI's taxonomy places the organism in Eukaryota, Viridiplantae, Streptophyta, Magnoliopsida, Fabales, Fabaceae.